GAAGGCUAUGUUGGCCGGGCGACGGUUGUCCCGGUUUAAGCGUGUAGGCUGGUUUUCCAGGCAAAUCCGGAAAAUCAAGGCUGAGGCGUGAUGACGAGGCACUACGGUGCUGAAGCAACAAAUGCCCUGCUUCCAGGAAAAGCCUCUAAGCAUCAGGUAACAUCAAAUCGUACCCCAAACCGACACAGGUGGUCAGGUAGAGAAUACCAAGGCGCUUGAGAGAACUCGGGUGAAGGAACUAGGCAAAAUGGUGCCGUAACUUCGGGAGAAGGCACGCUGAUAUGUAGGUGAAGUCCCUUGCGGAUGGAGCUGAAAUCAGUCGAAGAUACCAGCUGGCUGCAACUGUUUAUUAAAAACACAGCACUGUGCAAACACGAAAGUGGACGUAUACGGUGUGACGCCUGCCCGGUGCCGGAAGGUUAAUUGAUGGGGUCAGCGCAAGCGAAGCUCUUGAUCGAAGCCCCGGUAAACGGCGGCCGUAACUAUAACGGUCCUAAGGUAGCGAAAUUCCUUGUCGGGUAAGUUCCGACCUGCACGAAUGGCGUAAUGAUGGCCAGGCUGUCUCCACCCGAGACUCAGUGAAAUUGAACUCGCUGUGAAGAUGCAGUGUACCCGCGGCAAGACGGAAAGACCCCGUGAACCUUUACUAUAGCUUGACACUGAACAUUGAGCCUUGAUGUGUAGGAUAGGUGGGAGGCUUUGAAGUGUGGACGCCAGUCUGCAUGGAGCCGGCCUUGAAAUACCACCCUUUAAUGUUUGAUGUUCUAACGUGGACCCGUGAUCCGGGUUGCGGACAGUGUCUGGUGGGUAGUUUGACUGGGGCGGUCUCCUCCUAAAGAGUAACGGAGGAGCACGAAGGUUGGCUAAUCCUGGUCGGACAUCAGGAGGUUAGUGCAAUGGCAUAAGCCAGCUUGACUGCGAGCGUGACGGCGCGAGCAGGUGCGAAAGCAGGUCAUAGUGAUCCGGUGGUUCUGAAUGGAAGGGCCAUCGCUCAACGGAUAAAAGGUACUCCGGGGAUAACAGGCUGAUACCGCCCAAGAGUUCAUAUCGACGGCGGUGUUUGGCACCUCGAUGUCGGCUCAUCACAUCCUGGGGCUGAAGUAGGUCCCAAGGGUAUGGCUGUUCGCCAUUUAAAGUGGUACGCGAGCUGGGUUUAGAACGUCGUGAGACAGUUCGGUCCCUAUCUGCCGUGGGCGCUGGAGAACUGAGGGGGGCUGCUCCUAGUACGAGAGGACCGGAGUGGACGCAUCACUGGUGUUCGGGUUGUCAUGCCAAUGGCACUGCCCGGUAGCUAAAUGCGGAAGAGAUAAGUGCUGAAAGCAUCUAAGCACGAAACUUGCCCCGAGAUGAGUUCUCCCUGACCCUUUAAGGGUCCUGAAGGAACGUUGAAGACGACGACGUUGAUAGGCCGGGUGUGUAAGCGCAGCGAUGCGUUGAGCUAACCGGUACUAAUGAACCGUGAGGCUUAACCUUACAACGCCGAAG
RNAcentral lists this ribosomal RNA (1485 nucleotides) under Escherichia coli. Its description in RNAcentral is "partial 23S ribosomal RNA". It matches the Rfam family "Bacterial large subunit ribosomal RNA", at positions 1477 to 2925 of the family's 2925-position model. RNAcentral also lists the same sequence under 1 other name. Lineage: Bacteria; Pseudomonadati; Pseudomonadota; Gammaproteobacteria; Enterobacterales; Enterobacteriaceae. The record is from RNAcentral.